Molecule: ribosomal RNA, 849 nt
Filed under: uncultured Streptococcus sp.
Lineage: Bacteria; Bacillati; Bacillota; Bacilli; Lactobacillales; Streptococcaceae
Description: bacterial SSU rRNA
Rfam family: Bacterial small subunit ribosomal RNA
Source: RNAcentral
CGCUGGCGGCGUGCCUAAUACAUGCAAGUAGAACGCUGAAGAGAGGAGCUUGCUCUUCUUGGAUGAGUUGCGAACGGGUGAGUAACGCGUAGGUAACCUGCCUUGUAGCGGGGGAUAACUAUUGGAAACGAUAGCUAAUACCGCAUAACAAUGGAUGACACAUGUCAUUUAUUUGAAAGGGGCAAUUGUUCCACUACAAGAUGGACCUGCGUUGUAUUAGCUAGUAGGUGAGGUAAUGGCUCACCUAGGCGACGAUACAUAGCCGACCUGAGAGGGUGAUCGGCCACACUGGGACUGAGACACGGCCCAGACUCCUACGGGAGGCAGCAGUAGGGAAUCUUCGGCAAUGGGGGCAACCCUGACCGAGCAACGCCGCGUGAGUGAAGAAGGUUUUCGGAUCGUAAAGCUCUGUUGUAAGUCAAGAACGGGUGUGAGAGUGGAAAGUUCACACUGUGACGGUAGCUUACCAGAAAGGGACGGCUAACUACGUGCCAGCAGCCGCGGUAAUACGUAGGUCCCGAGCGUUGUCCGGAUUUAUUGGGCGUAAAGCGAGCGCAGGCGGUUUGAUAAGUCUGAAGUUAAAGGCUGUGGCUCAACCAUAGUUCGCUUUGGAAACUGUCAAACUUGAGUGCAGAAGGGGAGAGUGGAAUUCCAUGUGUAGCGGUGAAAUGCGUAGAUAUAUGGAGGAACACCGGUGGCGAAAGCGGCUCUCUGGUCUGUAACUGACGCUGAGGCUCGAAAGCGUGGGGAGCGAACAGGAUUAGAUACCCUGGUAGUCCACGCCGUAAACGAUGAGUGCUAGGUGUUGGAUCCUUUCCGGGAUUCAGUGCCGCAGCUAACGCAUUAAGC